Molecule: ribosomal RNA, 468 nt
Filed under: uncultured bacterium
Lineage: Bacteria
Description: partial 16S ribosomal RNA
Rfam family: Bacterial small subunit ribosomal RNA
Source: RNAcentral
GACGAACGCUGGCGGCGUGCUUAACACAUGCAAGUCGAACGGAAAGGCCCUGCUUUUGUGGGGUGCUCGAGUGGCGAACGGGUGAGUAACACGUGAGUAACCUGCCCUUGACUUUGGGAUAACUUCAGGAAACUGGGGCUAAUACCGGAUAGGAGCUCCUGCUGCAUGGUGGGGGUUGGAAAGUUUCGGCGGUUGGGGAUGGACUCGCGGCUUAUCAGCUUGUUGGUGGGGUAGUGGCUUACCAAGGCUUUGACGGGUAGCCGGCCUGAGAGGGUGACCGGCCACAUUGGGACUGAGGUACGGCCCAGACUGCUACGGGAGGCAGCAGUGGAGAAUAUUGCACAAUGAGCGGAAGCCUGAUGCAGCAACGCCGCGUGCGGGAUGACGGCCUUCGGGUUGUAAACCGCUUUAGCCUGUGACGAAGCGGGAGUGACGGUAAUGGGUGAAGAAGCACCGGCUAACUACGUG